CGGAGCGAACCGCGAAUCCCAAGGUCCGGGCUGGAGAGCUCGGACUGUGAGCGCCGGGCAGGCGGCGGCCGGGCGGGGUCGGAUUCUAGACCGGCCGACCCUGGCGACAGCCCCCGCCUCGGCGAGCGUUUGCCACCGUGUUGACAGCUCCUUACUCCAGCUGGCUCCUCUGCAGGCGGCCUUCCUCCACGCGGCCCUCCGUUUCAGGCGCCCCAGGAACCUGGUCCGGACGUCCCUCGCUAUUGCACAUCAUGCCGGUAUGGCAGCUGGGUGCGCUUGUGGAUUAAUCCCAUCUGCCUCCCGCCCUGACACGUGAAACCCCAAAUCCCGCCGUCUCCACCACAGAACCCCCUGGCCACCUUGACCAUUGAGAGGGCCACCUGACAGCCAGGGCAUACCUGCUACCAGUGGUACCCGUGCCUGAAAACGGAGAUUUGUAUCCUCUGUGAAGAAGCAAGGAUCCACGGGUUAAACUCUGAAAUGUCUGCAUCUCCCAAAAUGGAUUCCUGACCUACUGCAUUUGUAAAUCUUCAAACUUCAGCACUCCCUUCUGCCACCGUGUAAUCAUUUGAUCUUAAACCUGGCUAUGUUAUUCUUACUUGGAGUAAAUUCACCUUGGCCCUUAACAGGCCUAAAGGUCACUAUGCUCUUGAAUCCACAGUCACACCAUAGAAGCCGAGGUGGAUUAGUGAAGAGCAAAUGUCCUUGCCACGUGACAGUGAAACUCCAAAGUGGGGGAACAAUGCUACCAGCUCCUGUUGGUGCCUCUGAACAGGGCUGCUGGAACAUGGGGAAGAGCAGUCACCUGGCCUCUGACUGAGGAAAGCUGAGCCCUGCAGGAGCCUGCUUUACCACCAGUGGUCUUCCCACUCCUGGUUCUAAAACAUCUUGGGCUCAUGCUUCAUGAAUGGAAUAAAGCAUCUGCAAUUCCACAGAAAGGUAAAUGUUUAUUCAACUCGACGUUAUUUUAAAGAACAGCAGCUAAAUCAACACUGAGACAGACUGGAGCUGGUUCUGGGGGACACAGAAUGUCAAGCCUGAGGACACACCACUUAACCCUCUGCUUCCCAAACAGGUCAAGAUUUUAAGUAAUUAAGGUUAGGGGGAAAAAAGGAGUCCUAAGAGCUGUCUCUAUGUGCUCUCUUCCCUAAUUCUUCCCACUCUUUCUUGAGCCCCCUACAAUCCGGCUUUCAUCCCCACUACUGGGUUGAAACAGCUCAUGGGGAAUCACCAGUGAUCUCUACCCUGCCAAAAACAAUGAUCCAAUCUGUCUCGUCUUACUCAACCUAUCAGGAAAACAAGACCAAGGAAUCAACUUAAUAACUUUAAAAAAAAUAUUAGGCACAAUGUUAUCUACAAUUUUGUUAUCGAAGUAUCGGCUUUUAAUGAAUUAUGAAUACAACUAUUCAUAUUUUUUUAAUAAUCAAUUCUAGGGGGGAAAGAAGUCUCUCUCAUUCCAAACAACCAACUUAUAAACAUUUCUACCUCUUCUCAAGGAAACAGAAGCAACUGCUUUUAUUGCUAAAUUUCAGCUUACAGAUUGAGCAUCAAAGUUUGUAUCCCCCAAAAUUCUUUAUAAGAAACCCCACCCACAGUGGUCCUGUUAACCCUCAAAUGAGCUAGAAGGAAAAUAAGUAUUUUACAAAAGCUAGCAAAAUUCUUUGUCUUGAUCUUUCUCUAAAGCGACAGUCAACUCUGCACCACAUCUGCACCAAUUAACACGUUUUCCUGUCCCCUGCCAAGGACACAAUUUUGAAACAUCUCUCACGAGGAGUGUCCACUUACUCUCACCACAUGACAAGGAGUCCAUGCCUCAUUUAUAAAGAUAAGACCUGCCUGGCCCACAGAACCUACACAGAGCCGUCCUACAACACUUUUACACACCUCAACUACAGCCCAUGGCAAUGCGGCAUGACUUCGAGAGGGCUCCCUGCUGACCCCUCACAAUCAUGGUGUUACUCUGUCACCUCCAUGUGUGCAGUUUUCACAUCUUACGUUCUGAGGACAUGAUCUAGGAGUCAAUGAACUUCUGAGUUUAACCACUGAUCUGAGUCCAAGUCUCACCUGGAAAUACUAGAGGCAAUGGCGUGUGCAAAACUAUGUGAAGACUAUCAAAGCGUGCUUAUGCCCAGGCUUGAGGAUGGAAGUCGCCUCAUGAGCAAACCAUCUCCUGAAGUCCUGCGGUCAACCCACUUACUAGCUUCUGCAUCACGGUGCUAAGCUGUCAUUCCAAACGCGCACACACUGUCACAGUCGUAUAGUGUCUUACAGUAUCCAAAGCACGAGGUAUGUGCCCUCCAAACUAGUUGGCUUGGUAGGACCUGAACUAAAGACAUUCACAGUAGGUCUCAACGUUAACCCACAUCACGAGGGCUUGUACAUAAUUAGCGUCACACCAAUAAAGUAUUCACGAGAAUGCAUAAAUUCAUGACAUAAACCAAGAAUGAGCUGCUGACUUACUGUUUCAGCAGAUACAUCAUAUCACACAUAAUUUGUCCAUAGUUUUAACUACUACUCCAUAAAUACUUGAUGUUUGUAUCAAUAAUGCUACUGGAAUGGAAUAAUAUUACAAAGAAAAGUGUAUGAAAACAGACAUAAUAAGCUUUAAAGGACUAAACUUCAGUUAUAAAAGUGGGUCACAGGCUAAGAAAUCGCUAUUUAUCUGCAAUAAUUACAAACCAAAAGAUGAUCACAGGUUGUUCAUUAUAUAUCCAAAUCUAGGAAUUAUUUCAUCACAUAGCCAAUUGGGGGGGGGGG
Molecule: long non-coding RNA, 2757 nt
Organism: Tupaia belangeri chinensis (Chinese tree shrew)
Lineage: Eukaryota; Metazoa; Chordata; Mammalia; Scandentia; Tupaiidae
Exons: 2
Source: RefSeq, a predicted model, not a curated record